CUACUGGAAAUGGGAGGUGUAUCUGACCCUCAGAAAGGUUUUGUGGGUUUUCACUGUUAUGCUUUUGUAGAUGAUUUAAGAAUCAGGCACAUUUUUUGCUUUGCAGACUAUGUUUUCCAAAAUUAGAAACUGUAAACUAUCAUUUUGAAAAAGGUAAGAUCCUACCACAAAAACAAAAUAAAAUUCAACAACAUCAAGAAGCAAACAAAGCAAUACAGAAUGGAGAAUGCUUAGGGACACGAUGGAGAAUCUGCUCUGCAGUUUUCCCUCAAGUUUCUUCUAAGUUGGUGAUGGUUCGUUCAGCUUUUUCCUCACUUUGCCAUUUUAUUCAUGACAUAGAAGAGCAAUCAUCAUAUUUGCAAGUGAAAAAGGAUCAAAGUUUAGACAAAAUCUUCCUAACAAAUUAUAUCGUUUCUUGGAUAAAAUUCAAUUGAUAAAAAUUAUAUUAAAGAGAAUGAAAAACGCAGCAAAAUCACCCUAUCAAGCGAUAAAGUACAAUUUGUGGUUCGUAUCACAGAGGCAAGUGAAGUUUGGGAAAGAACACUGAAAAGACCUAAGUUUUGAACUGGAGCAGAAAAGAGCAAACCACUCAGGAUCAUAGCAAUAACUGGAAACGGCUUCCCUUCAUUACUUUCUGCACACAUAGCUGAUAGUGGUGCAGGAGCGAGUGCAGGAGGCAGGGCUGUCUUCCUUGAGAAGGAAAACCAUGUGGAAAAGCCGGGCCAAAUUGAGAUCCUGCUUUUGUUUUCUUUGGGAUUUUUCAAAACAACUUGACUGUGGAGCAGCCUUGUGGACCUUGGUUGUUUUGGCAGGCACUGCUGAUAAGCUAACUCUACCAGUAAGACAGCUAAGCUGUAGCUCACCUAGAGCUAGUGCAUCCAACCUGAAGGCCAGUGGAAGAGACAUACAGCGACUCAAGAGAAACAACAACAAAAGAGUCAUUUAAACAAUCAAAUUCUAUUAUUUAUCACCUUUGGAAGAGGAAAGUAACAACAGCAAGAAAAAAAAAAGUCCGCAUGGAGGACUACAUGCUCCAGAGGCAAAUGGAAGGUAGAGGAUAAAUAGAAUUUCAGAUGUACUUCCUACAUGGAUAUAUCCAGG
RNAcentral lists this long non-coding RNA (1101 nucleotides) under Fukomys damarensis (Damara mole-rat). Its description in RNAcentral is "lncRNA (ENSFDAG00000021719.1)". Lineage: Eukaryota; Metazoa; Chordata; Mammalia; Rodentia; Bathyergidae. The record is from RNAcentral.